AAGCAGAUCGGCGGCCGCGGGGAGGUUCGGGGCGGCGCAGCCCCGCGCGGUUGUGGGAUCGCUCCCGGGGGCCGCUCCUCUCUCGGGCACUGGGGUCGCGGGAGACGUCGUCGGGAGCUCGGUUUCUGGAGGCCCUUCCCCACCCGGCCUCUGCCUCCUCCACUCCCCCGGGCUGGACGGAACGGGGCCCAGCGCGGGAUGCGAGGGUCUUACUAUGUCACCCAGACUGAAGUGCAGUGGCAUGAUCACAGGUCAUUGCAUCCUCAACCACCCAGACUCAAGCAAUCCUCCUGUCUCAGCCUUCCAAGUAACUGAGACCACAGAAAUAACCAUGGAUAUGGGUAGAGACAGAGCCAUAUGGAAUGCACACUGCAGUGGUGAACACAUGGCCCAGCUCUGCCAUCAAGGAGAAGGAACAUGAAUGGAGCUGGAGGCCAUCAUCCUUAGUGAACUAACACAGGAGCAGAAAACCAAAUACCACAUGUUCUCAUGUGUAAGUGGGAGCUAAAUGAUGAGAACACAUGGACACAAAGAGGGGAACAACAGACACUGAAGCCUCCUUGAGGGAGGAGGGUAAGAGGAAGGAGAAGAUCAGAAAAGAUAACUACCAGGUACUAUGGUAGCUUAGUACCUGGGUGAUGAAAUAAUCUGUACACCCAACCCUCAUGACAGAAGUUUACCUGUGUAACAAACCUGCACAUGUAUCCCUGAAACUAAAAGUUUUUUAAAAAGUUAUUUAAUAUAUAUAUAUUUUUUUGAGACGGAGUUUUGCUCUUGUUGCCCAGGCUGGAGUGCGGUGGCGCAAUUUCGGCUCACCACAACCUCCGCCUCCCAGGUUCAAGCUAUUCCCCUGCCUCAGCCUCCCUAGUAGCUGGGAUUACAGGCUUGUGCCACCACGCCGGCUAAUUUUGUAUUUUUUGUAGAGACGGGGUUUCUCCAUGUUGGUCAGGCUGGUCUCGAACUCCCGACCUCAGGUGAUCCACCCCCCUCGGCCUCCCAAAGUGCUAGGAUUACAGGCAUGAGCCACUGCGCCCGGCAAAAAGUUAUUUAAUAUUAAUGGGACAAUACUCAUUGCAAGAAUCAGACUUCAAUUGCUAGCAUAAGUAAAUGACAGGCAGGAGAUAUUGAAAAUGCAAUCUUAUAGACAUUCAAGGAGAGGACGCAGGACAUUUCUGUGUCAUAAAUGUACUAUGGAAAAUAAAAAUGAGAAAAAUGGAAAUAAAAUACAAGAAAAGGUUAUGAUAAAUUUCAUAUUAUUUUACCACAAUAAAAAAAUUUUAAUAAAUUAUAAAUGGUGUGAUAUGUUUUGCCUGUGUUCCACCCAAAUCUCAUCUUGAAUUAGAGCUCCCACAAUUCCCACGUGUUGUGGCUGGGACCCUGUGGGAGAUAAUUGAAUCAUGGGGGCAGUUUACCCCAUACUGUUCUCUUGGUGGUGAAUAAGUCUCAUGAGAGUUGAUGGUUUGAUAAGGGGUUUCCCCUUUUGCUUGGCUCUCAUUCUCUCUUGACUGCCACCAUGUAAGAUGUGCCUUUUGCCUUCCACCAUGAUUGUGAAGCCUCCCAGCCACAUGGAACUGUGAGUCCAUUAAACCUUUUUCUUUACAAAUUA
RNAcentral lists this long non-coding RNA (1606 nucleotides) under Homo sapiens (human). RNAcentral describes it as "CCNY antisense RNA 1, transcript variant 10 (CCNY-AS1)". The record is from RNAcentral. Lineage: Eukaryota; Metazoa; Chordata; Mammalia; Primates; Hominidae.